AAACGCACUGCCAGGGUGGUCUUCAGUUGUGUGUUUGUGUAACCUGUUUUCACAGAUGAGGCGAGCCAACAUUUUUCUCCUGACAGUCAGUUUUUCUUGGGCAUUAAUUCCCAUACAUUGUUUUUCUCCAGGCUAAAUGCACUUCCAAAUUCAAAGUUGAUUAGACACGCUACAUGUUAACGCCUGAUUUAAUUGCGGAUGUGCAGACACGCAGAGGCAGCCAGCCUCCCCCCAGCUCUCCUUGGCAGAAUCCAGCCUGAGCACAGCUGUCAGGACAGCUGGCCUCCGUCCCACAGGGCCAAGCACAUGGCUUCCCACAGUGUCUGUUCCCAUCUCAGGGCCAGUGGGAUUCUGUCUUGAUCUCCAGGACUUUCCCUACAGAGGCUCCUCUGUCCAUGGGAUUCUCCAGGCAAGAAUGUUGGAGUGGAUUGCCAUUUCCUCCUCCAGGGGAUCUUCCCAACCCAGGGAUUGAGCCCGCCCACGUCUCUAUGUCUUCCUGCCUUGGCAGGCGGGUUCUUUACCACUACUGUGAAGUGGCACCAACUCCUGCCUGCCUAGGAGACAGCAGCUCACGUCCGUUUAACAAAUCCCAGGCACCACUGAAUUAAAAAAAAAGAUGAUUGGUCCCUUUUAUCUGGGGCUACACACGUGGGUGUUAGGAAGUCUUGAUGUGUGCAGCCCCUUAACACUGAUCUGAAGAAGG
Molecule: long non-coding RNA, 703 nt
Organism: Bos taurus (domestic cattle)
Lineage: Eukaryota; Metazoa; Chordata; Mammalia; Artiodactyla; Bovidae
Source: Ensembl